RNAcentral lists this long non-coding RNA (5551 nucleotides) under Malus domestica (apple). RNAcentral describes it as "long non-coding RNA (MDOM_LNC009202)". Lineage: Eukaryota; Viridiplantae; Streptophyta; Magnoliopsida; Rosales; Rosaceae. The record is from RNAcentral.
UGAUUUGUCAAAAGAAUUACAUCACAAAAGGAGCUAAGUAAUAUGAUUCUAAAACAAAAUACCCUAAAACAAAAAUUGCACCAUAUAUCCAACAAAUUUAAAUAAAACAGAGACUCAAAAAGAGUCCAUCAAGAAACCUCCCCUGAAAAUACUACAAAAACCUUGCAUAUCUGAAUUAUGAAGGACAAAAGUCUCGCGUAGUAAAACUAUGGACUCUAAAUGAAUUUAAAUACUUUACAAUAGUCUCUAACAUCGAAAACACAUUGACAAAUUUCACCAAAUUGAAAAUGCAUUUACGUCGCUUGGUUACUGUUAUAGCUUUUAUAGGUUUAUAGAAGGGGAGGUGAUUUUCUCAAACUCUUUUUAGCUUCUUACACACUCCUAUUUAAUUCUGACCAUUAAUUCUGUUUGAUUUAUUCAAUUAGAUGACCAUAAAUAAAGAUAUGUACGUGAAAAGCAAUAAAUUGUGUGUGAAAAAAUCACUUCCCUGAUAGAAAAACUCUAAGGCAGGCAAGAUGAUGGAAUUAGUGAUUACCUACCGAUGAGAUCAAUUCCUUUGUUACCCUAAUCAAAUCCACCACAAAUAGACGAUCAAAUAAUGAGAUCUGAUUGAAACAAAAACAAAAAUAAAAAGUAAAAAUAAAAAAAAUAAAAAAACCAAACAAUUAAACAACAAAAACUUCCAAAAAAUGAAACUAACAGAAAUUGAAAGCAAACAAAUCUACCAAUUAAGACUAGCAAAACGCAUGGAUGAGGUUAAAUUUUCAUAACAUGCACAGAGAUUCGAUUUCAUCCUCAAUCGAGAUAACGAGUGGAAGAUUGAAAGUACAUAAACAAAAGACAAAUAGAAAAUAAUAUUAGUGGGAAAAGGUCAGUGAGAGGGCUCCUUGGACCUCAGAACACCUCCCCAAGGGAUUGGCACUUUGGAUGUGUAGUUGGGCUCUUACUUGUUGAUGUGCUACAAGAAGAGAACAAAGUUAGUUUUGAAAGGUACCUUUAUGGGGCUUAGGUGUAGGCCUUGAUAUUCACAAUCAAAACUAACUAAGUGUUAGGCGUGCCACUGCAACCUCAGUAUAGCAGAUGUAGAACAAUUGUGUUUUAAGUUGAUUACUUGCGCCCCAAGUUAUUCCAACUUCUUGUUAUCAAAGGAUUGUUGUGGAUGAGUUAAGUCUGUUGGAGAACAAUUUAGAAAUAAAUAAAAAUAACAGAACUCGAAAUUGUAGAAUAUUUAUUAAACAAAAUACUUGCUGUGCAAAAUGAAAUACAGAACUAAAUAUAAGAAUAUCAAUGGUACUAACUUGAUUACAGAAGGUAGAGGCUAGCGUAAUAGCUAUGUCCUUCGAACAGUAUUUCCGUCCCACUCUUGUGCUUGUGGUUCAACAACGUCUGCUUGACCAGGAUUCAACUACCUAAUUCUACAACCCGUACUGGAUUAUAGAAUUCUAGCGAAUUUGCUUUGUGUGUUUACUCUCUGGAAAUUUCGUACAGAAGCAAGGAGGAAGGAAAUAAAAGAUGCCUGGAAUAGAACUGAGGACUCCAGUUAUAUAGGCUCUUUCAUACCUUUUCAAAUACAUUUUGGAUGUAUCUGAAGCUAUACAACUCUUUCCAAAGAGUUGUGUCUAUUAAUCAAAAUGUUUUUAAUUAAUUUUAAUUAAAAACUUAAUUCGAAAAUUAAAACUAAUUGAUCAGAUUAAUUUUAAUUAUUAGGCCCCAAGUGCCCAAGGCCCAAGGCCCUUGUCUUGAUUAAUUAAUAUUAAUUAAUAUUAAUAUUAUGGUAUAGUCAUCAAGCCCAAUCCACACAAUUGGUGGCCCAAGCCUCAAUUCCCAUUCCAAGUGGUCCAACACUUAACUAAUAUUGUAGAGGACAAAACAUAUAUAAAGGUCAUUGGGAAUCUUGUUUUCUCCAAUGUGGGACAAGAGUCUCAAAACUCUAACAAAGUCCACAUUAAGUUCUUUUUCUUGCCUUCUAAACAAGGACUUUUAAUUCAUAGUCUUGUAUGUUCAGAUGAAGGGAGUCCAGAGCCCCUUAAGUCAUUUGUUUAGUUCCAAGUUGGUUUUAAAUGAAAGCAUAUCCAUUAAAGUGACUAGAUCCAGAUACAAAUGAGAUUCUUAAGGUAGAAAACAAAUGGAAAUGAUUUGAAUACAUGCUGGAAAGUGCAUUAAGUAAUAGAUCUACUAAUUUAGAAAAUAAACAAAGAGGUUCAGGCAAGAUUUCACCUUGUCUGGCAAUGUUGAACUUCUUGUAGUUUAUUCUCUUUGUAUUUAUAAAAGUUAUAUGCUUGAAAAGGGAUGGAUGGUACACAAGUUUACACGAGGGAAUCGAUACUAUGAUGCUAUAAGGUAGCAGAGCUUUAAACGAGAGAAAGAUAGGCUUUCUAAGGAAAACUAUUACUAAAAGAUUUGAGAUCUGGGCUGAUUACAAUUUUUGGAUGCAAAUAUGGCUUGAGAAUAGAGUUUGUAAGUUUAUUUGAUUGGUUGAGUGUUCUUUCCCCCGUUGUCUCUUCUUCCUUUUAUAGCCGACUGUUGUAGCUUUUGCUCUUACUCGAAAGCAUUUGAAAGGUAGUGAGUCAUCACACUUUUUACUAGCAAUGCCACUGGAAAGUGCUUUUUGGUAGGUUAGCUCCCAUCACUUGUUACUUCCCCAAUGGACACAUGGCUUGUUCCUUGACUAAGAAGGCAUCAAUUUAUAUUUGGGCUUGAUGUUGGGCUUCGGGCAAGUCUCUUUUAAUUGACACCCUUGGCUUUAUUUUCUUUAAGCCCAAUAUUCAAAUAUUAACCCAAGCAGUGUCCCCUUUAAUUAUUGUUGAGUCUACAACCCAAGAUGCUAAUAAUGAUUAAACAACCGUCGCAUGCCUUUACUUGGGACUUGCACCAUUUAAGACAGCCAUUGUUAACUAAACCUUUGCACUAACCUACUAAUUUCAACGUUAAUUAACUGUUCACUAUAUAACCCUCACUUAAACCCUUUGGCUAAAUACCUUAGCAACUUCAAACCUUCGAAUUCAUAGAACUUCCCAAAAUUCUUAGAGCCUUCAGAAUUUUUGGAAAUUUCUCUCGUUCUUCAAUUCUUGAUUUUCUAAUCCCAAUUUCUUUUUCAAAAUCCAAUGGCACCAAAGACUACUAAAACCCAAUUUUCUUACAAGACUGGUGAGGGGUUUGUCACCAUUCACCGUCUGCUCAACGGCCUUCAUCGCCCUUGGGUUGGCCUGCAGACCUCUCUUUUCUUUGAGGAAAAAGGUGUGCAUUCUCUGGGACCUGCAUGGACUACCUAGGUACCAAUUGCCGUGGAGAGUAACAUUCCCAAGGCAAAGUGGUUCACCCCGAACCCAUUUUCGACUAAGGCUGGCAUUUCUUCCUCCAAAUGGUCUACCCAUCGACGAUGAUUCCCCUUGAUGAAUGAUGAAGUUUGGGUACAGUCGGUAAACGAGCUCGAACCUAUCUUCAAGCAAAAAUGGAUGAACAACAGUAUCUACGAGUUGAUAAUGCUCUUAAAGACUACUGUUAUUGCCAAGCCCAAGCUACUGAUAACUACGCCCCCCUUCUGGAACUCGGGCACCAACACCUUCGACAUCAGGAUGUGCCUCAUGUCUCCUACCAUCCUCGAUAUGGCCCAAGUCUUUGGGUUAAGGACUUCGGGCAGAGUUAUAGACGUUACCCACGACUGGUCUCUUUCUUCCUGCUCGAUUGCAUAGAGCUCAGGUAGCUCUGAUCCAUUCUUUCAAAUGGAGUAUAACUCCUCAACCUUCAAGAGCAACGAGACCUUAUUUGCAGGCUUCAUCCCGUUUGCUGAGAAGAAUUUUAGUUUCUCCUCUUCUACUGCUAACAAAGAUCAAGAGCACAUGUAUUUCCUCCUCUACUGGCUCAACAAACACGUCUUCCCCAACAAAUCUAAAUGAGUGACAGUUGAAUGGAUCCUUCUGGUGAAAACUCUUGACAAUUUCAAUGACAUGGCCACAGGCCUUUUCUUUCUCUCCCAUCUCUACCAUCUUCUAUUUAAGAUGACUCGGGGAUAACCAUUUGAAACCAAUCUUAAUGUGCAAACCUGGAUGGCCCAAUUAUGGCUUUAAUGGUAUUUCCCCGAGCAUCGAGCUCCCAAUCUAGAAUUCCCCGAGGAUGUUGCUCAUGCCCGUAUUCUGGUUGAAGCAUCUCCCACCAAUCACUCUACAUUCGCUUAUCUCUAUUUCUUCAGAGUCUGCAGAACUCGGGCAUACUUGGAUUGGGGAGCUUAAGUUCUAAGAAGAUACCUUUGGUUCUCUGACCAAGCCUUUCAAGAUGCAUUUGGGGAAGAUGCCACCCCCUUUUGCAAAGAGAGGUUCAUAAGUUGUAUCCAAUCAAAUGACAUAACUUAGGGAGUAAGAGGCGACCACUACGAGCAUGGGCUAAAAGUUUAUCACCCCAACUUCUGUGCUAGACAGUUGGGGUUUAGACAAGCCAUCCUCGUGCCAUUCUUCCACUUUGUACAUUGUGCACCUUAUAUCAUUUUCGUUCACCACAAGAAGUCACAUUCCGAGCUGCCUGAUGUAGUCUCGAGGUACUGAGCAAGGUUGCCCGCAAACCUAUGGCUCUUAAUUUUGAAUGCUCCUCAUCAUUCUCUUCUUGGUAGGAGGCAAAGUGGUUCAAGAAGUACAGCGGAGAUAUCAAGGAAUUGCCCGACCGUUUCUUCAAGCAACUCACAAUCAAAUCCUAUCCAAAGCCAAGUGAACUUGAAGAUUGGAAGAAGAUGAUUCAUCAUAAGACCCAACUACUUUUAAAAGGUAUCAUUUAUUUCCUUAACUUGUACUUAUCUUUAUUUUACAACUUGCCUUCCAUUAACCUUUUUCUUACUCCUUUUAACCUUUGUAGCCCAAAGUAACACUGAAACAAUUGACGUCGGGCUUGAUAAAGAGAUUGGAGACACCUUUGUCCUCCAAGAGGUGGCAGCUGAGGCUACGAGGCAAUGUGAUGGGGUGGGCAGAGAUAUUUCUAAGUUGUUUGAAGACUCAGAAGAUGAGGUUGAGCAUUCAUUGGAGGUUCGGGUUACCAGGCAGACGAGGGUAACAGUUAUGGAAACUUCAGAGCCUGAAUCAAAAGAGCGUCAUCGAGCUCAGCUCUCCAUACCGGGUCCGCGGGCAACCCUCACCAAGAAAAUUACUAGAGCUCAGACUUCCAAAGCACCUAAAUCUUCCAAGUCCUCCACUGCUCCUCAAGUUGAAGCGGGUAGAAAAAAAAACGGAAGUGAUCCAGUAAGUUAGCUUCAUCUUAAUUUUCCUUAAUUGAAAUCCUUACUCCCUGAGCUAACAACUUCUUCUCUCUCAAAACUAGGGCCCCAAGACAUAUAAAAGCCUAAUUAUGUCUCAAGGGGAGAACCACUGGGUGCGGAGAUGCACCAGAAGGCCAAAUAUCUUCUUGAUUCCACCAUUGAGGAACUGGAGGUAUGGCUUGCAUCUUAAGUACCCUUUCUCUUCAUCAUUAUAUAUAUUUUUUAAUUAACUAUUUACCCGUGAUAGGAGCAUAUUUAUGCGCCUUAGUUAGCUAGUUCUUAUGCAUUUCCAUGGUGUUUUCUUAGUUAAAG